GGGCCUAUAGCUCAGUCGGUUAGAGCACCACGUUUACACCGUGGGGGUCGGGGGUUCAAGUCCCUCUGGGCCCACCA
RNAcentral lists this transfer RNA (77 nucleotides) under Bifidobacteriaceae bacterium. Its description in RNAcentral is "tRNA-Val". It matches the Rfam family "tRNA". From Rfam's summary of the family: Transfer RNA (tRNA) molecules are approximately 80 nucleotides in length. Their secondary structure includes four short double-helical elements and three loops (D, anti-codon, and T loops). Further hydrogen bonds mediate the characteristic L-shaped molecular structure. tRNAs have two regions of fundamental functional importance: the anti-codon, which is responsible for specific mRNA codon recognition, and the 3' end, to which the tRNAs corresponding amino acid is attached (by aminoacyl-tRNA synthetases). tRNAs cope with the degeneracy of the genetic code in two manners: having more than one tRNA (with a specific anti-codon) for a particular amino acid; and 'wobble' base-pairing, i.e. permitting non-standard base-pairing at the 3rd anti-codon position. The record is from RNAcentral. Lineage: Bacteria; Bacillati; Actinomycetota; Actinomycetes; Bifidobacteriales; Bifidobacteriaceae.